RNAcentral lists this transfer RNA (72 nucleotides) under Nanobdellota archaeon. RNAcentral describes it as "Nanoarchaeota archaeon tRNA-Ala". It matches the Rfam family "tRNA". From Rfam's summary of the family: Transfer RNA (tRNA) molecules are approximately 80 nucleotides in length. The record is from RNAcentral. RNAcentral also lists the same sequence under 2 other names. Lineage: Archaea; Nanobdellati; Nanobdellota.
GGGCCGGUGGUCUAGUGGCAGGACGCGCCCCUGGCUAGGGCGAGGCCGCGGGUUCGAAUCCCGCCCGGUCCA